This 404-nucleotide ribosomal RNA is filed under the name uncultured bacterium. RNAcentral's name for it is "bacterial SSU rRNA". It matches the Rfam family "Bacterial small subunit ribosomal RNA", at positions 958 to 1359 of the family's 1533-position model. The record is from RNAcentral.
AACGCGAAGAACCUUACCAGCCCUUGACAUCCCGGUCGCGGACUCCAGAGACGGAGUUCUUCAGUUCGGCUGGACCGGAGACAGGUGCUGCAUGGCUGUCGUCAGCUCGUGUCGUGAGAUGUUGGGUUAAGUCCCGCAACGAGCGCAACCCCCGUCCUUAGUUGCUACCAUUUAGUUGAGCACUCUAAGGAGACUGCCGGUGAUAAGCCGCGAGGAAGGUGGGGAUGACGUCAAGUCCUCAUGGCCCUUACGGGCUGGGCUACACACGUGCUACAAUGGCGGUGACAAUGGGAAGCGAAAGGGCAACCCCUAGCAAAUCUCAAAAAGCCGUCUCAGUUCGGAUUGUGCUCUGCAACUCGAGCCCAUGAAGUUGGAAUCGCUAGUAAUCGUGGAUCAUCACGCCA